UUGCAAGGAGGGAAGGAAGGAGAGAGAUGAGGGGAGGAUCCCAAUUCCACGACCACCACCGCCAUUUAUAUCACUAUCGCAAACCAGCAGCCAUUCUCCGAAAUCGAGAAGACGCAAUCGAAGGGGUUUGACAUUGAGAUCGCUGGCAUAUUGACUUUCUAUACUCUUGCACACAACUUUUCGAUGACACAAAUCCAGAUCUCACCCUUCGAUUCAAUUCCUCCUUUUUCAAUUUCUCAGAUUCUCCAAUUCCCCAUUCUUCUCUCCCAAAUCCCCCCAAAAAAGAGGGCUUGAUCGAUCUCUCUGUCCUUUAACAGAUUGUUAGCUUUUUGAGUUCACUCAAUUUCGAUGUCGACUUCGCAAGCUAAUCAUCUGACGGAGCAGAUCGUGCCACAACAGCAACAUCAACUGCCUUUGAAGCGCCAACCGCCAUUCUCCUCCAUGGAGCCGCCAUUUGGGGACUACCACCAGUUUUCCUCACCGGCCCUCGACCUCAGGUUGAAGGAACCCGAGGCUAUUGUGGUCAAAUCUCCGGCAUUAAAGAGGAAGAGUGAAAAGGCAGACUUAGUAGCCAAGUCCAGUGAUUGGAACCCUAGUACUGGAUAUGUGGAAGCUGUUGGCAGCCCUCUUCAAACACCUGUAUCAGGAAAUUGGGGAAAGGCACAAAAAGCGUCGAGGAUGGAAAAAUCCAAUAGAUUUGGGUCUCAAACUGCUGUUUCAAAUGUUGGUUCUCCUUCAAGCAAUAAUCUUACUACAAUUGGUCCCUGUUGUUAUGAUAGCUCCCUCGGUACAGAAGAGGCAUAUAUAUGAUAUAAUAAAUGACCUUGAAGGAAUUGGUCUCAUCGAAAAGAAGCUCAAGAAUAGAAAUCGAUGGAAGUACAGAUGGGAGUUGAUGUGUCAAGGCCAGGGGAGAUUGAUAAGAAUGCUGUUAUCAUACAGGUGUUUGAGUCAUUAGCUAUGUUGCUUACUGAAUUGGAUGUCUUAGUUUUGCUGAUCUGGCUAUUAGUUGCCCCACUCCCUACACACGACCAGACAUCACCACUUCAGUAAUGAUUUACAAAUUAUUUGCUUCCUUUGGUCUCUUCCAACAAUAUUGAUGUUCUAUUUUGUUAGAAAGAUGCACUUGCUAUAUAGGUAUGCUAAUUGUAUUGUUGCCAUAACAUGAUGUGGGAGAUAUUGUAUUAAAAGGAAGUAGACAUCCUUGUGUUGAGGCACUAGAUUCGGUGAAUUUUAUCCCCACUGAUUGUAAACUAGUGAGUUUUUAUGCAAUCUAAGGGAUGGUUACUUUAUCUUACUUCUUUGUCUUUUAAAUAAAAUGGCUCAUUAGUUGCUUAUUUUGAUUUUCAUCACAACAUGUCAGGGGAAAAAGUUGGUUCCAGAAUAUCACAGGGCCUAACAUGGGUGGAAAAUCCACAUUUAUCAGACAGGCAUUAUGUUUCUCUUUUGCUGGAACUCUUCUUUCUCUAUCCAUCCCUCUCAAAUUAAAUAAAUAGUGGAUGUUUUAUUUUUCCAAUAAAUACAACUAGGGUAGUCUGUACUGUUUACAGUGUACCAUGUGUAGGGCCAUGUUUAAUUAAAUAGCUCUAUUGCUUUGGUGUUUCUGAAAAAUUAGAGUUAUUUCUUUUGCAAGUUUAUUUUCAUUCAAUUUG
This is a non-coding RNA of Camellia sinensis, 1649 nucleotides long. Lineage: Eukaryota; Viridiplantae; Streptophyta; Magnoliopsida; Ericales; Theaceae. The record is from RefSeq and is a predicted model, not a curated record.